This 585-nucleotide ribosomal RNA is filed under the name uncultured bacterium. RNAcentral describes it as "partial 16S ribosomal RNA". It matches the Rfam family "Bacterial small subunit ribosomal RNA", at positions 355 to 937 of the family's 1533-position model. The record is from RNAcentral.
UGGGGAAUUUUGGACAAUGGGCGCAAGUCUGAUCCAGCCAUGCCGCGUGCGGGAAGAAGGCCUUCGGGUUGUAAACCGCUUUUGUCAGGGAAGAAAUCUUCUGAGUUAAUACCUCGGGAGGAUGACGGUACCUGAAGAAUAAGCACCGGCUAACUACGUGCCAGCAGCCGCGGUAAUACGUAGGGUGCAAGCGUUAAUCGGAAUUACUGGGCGUAAAGCGUGCGCAGGCGGUUUUGUAAGACAGAGGUGAAAUCCCCGGGCUCAACCUGGGAACUGCCUUUGUGACUGCAAGGCUUGAGUGCGGCAGAGGGGGAUGGAAUUCCGCGUGUAGCAGUGAAAUGCGUAGAUAUGCGGAGGAACACCGAUGGCGAAGGCAAUCCCCUGGGCCUGCACUGACGCUCAUGCACGAAAGCGUGGGGAGCAAACAGGAUUAGAUACCCUGGUAGUCCACGCCCUAAACGAUGUCAACUGGUUGUUGGGGAAGGUUCCUUCUCAGUAACGGAGCUAACGCGUGAAGUUGACCGCCUGGGGAGUACGGCCGCAAGGUUGAAACUCAAAUGAAUUGACGGGGUCAUAGCUGUUUCC